RNAcentral lists this transfer RNA (78 nucleotides) under Ixodes scapularis (black-legged tick). It matches the Rfam family "tRNA". From Rfam's summary of the family: Transfer RNA (tRNA) molecules are approximately 80 nucleotides in length. Their secondary structure includes four short double-helical elements and three loops (D, anti-codon, and T loops). The record is from Rfam by way of RNAcentral. Lineage: Eukaryota; Metazoa; Arthropoda; Arachnida; Ixodida; Ixodidae.
GUCGUGCCGAGUGGUUAAGGCGAUGGACUAGAAAUCCAUUGAGGUCUCCACGCACAGGUUUGAACCCUGGCGACUGCG